UUGUUUUGUUUUCUUCUCUGUUAGAUAUCACACAUCAUCAGAGAGAUACGCCAGUUCCAGCAGACUUCCUACAGAAUAGAUCAUCAACCAAAGGUUACACAGUACUUGCUUGACAAAGACCUUAUCAUAGAUGAAGAUACGCUAUAUGAGCUGUCACUAAAAAUUGAACCUCGACUCCCUGCUUGAAGAUCUGGCCUUGCCCCUGAGUCCACGGGAUUUUCAUGGAAAGCAGGACAGACAGAAUUAUGUAUGCCAUGCCUCACACGGUACAGCACGAAGCCAGUCUCCUUUCUCCACCAAAGAAGAUGGAACCAGACUGGAAUUCUGUCUCCGUUAGAGAGAAACCCAGCUGUUUGGGUCCAAGACAGAGGCUUCAGACUUGGGUGGAAAGGUGAAAAGUGGCUGUGUAGAAAGCUGAUGGCGCGUUUUACUUAAGGGAAUGUCAGAUGGGAGAUGCUAGUUGCCAUUUUAACAAAGCAGGUAAAUCGAUAGAUUUUAAACUCUGUCCGUGUUCUGUUAGAACUCAGGGACAAGGAUCCAUGAAAAGGACCUGUGAUGUUUCUCUGGCGCUUUACUGGCUUGGACACACCUACCAAUCUUCUGGGAUUUGACUGGUUCCAUUACACUUCCUUUUGGUAUAAGCUUCACAGAAAAGCUGACACUUCCUCUGCAGAGAGGGACGAACACAUAAGCAAUUUCAGUCUACAGCAUGCGCAUGGUUUUCAGUGCAUUAUAAAUAUUUAUAUAUGAGGAAUGGUACCUUCUGAAACUGCCUCUCCAGUCUUUAGGCAACAGGAUAGGAAAGACAGGAUGAAAGACAAAUGGAUGUGUAUGUAACAUUUCCUUAAGGAAAUGCAGUAGGCUGUACCCCAGAGGAUUCCAGACAGUGGCUGGCUGAGGUGGGUGGGGAGCUUUUCCUUGAGACUGUUGGUCGUAAGAAGCCAACCCCCUUGGAGAGGCACUGCAGUUGGCAAAAACAUACACACCCGUCUCAACAGCAAAACUGUGGAACAGGCAGAAGGCCACCAAGUGCUGUGGGCAAUCAUGGGUUUCAGUGCUAAGUGAAAAUCUAUACCUAAAAAUCAUCUCUGCGCCUUGCUUUGCUUGUUUUCUUUCCCCGCUCUUAGUACUGCAGGAAUCUAUUCUCAUUUAUGCAGACCUUUUUUAGGCUUACUAUGAACAUUGGCUGUAUUUUUUUUAAAACAGUUUGUGAAAUUUUCCUUUCAAAACCCACACUUCCAUCUGCUGCUGGUAGAUAUCUUUCUUUAAAAAAUGAUGUUGAGGGACCUCUGAGUGAUAAUAUUGUAAGAGCAUGGGAAAUGGGCCCAACCACCGAACAGCUCUUAUAUUACAAAACCAAAUGCGGGCGUUAGUCCUGCUACCUGAGGCUGGGGAAUUGACCUUACUUUUCCCAAGAUUGUCAGUUGUUGAAGAAAUAGGGCUAUCUCAUUGUUUACCUCCCUCUUCUCUUCUCAGGGAGACUGCUGCUUUAAAAGAAGGAAGAGAAAAAAUAUAGUUCUAUUUCCCUGAACCUAUCGCACCUGACGUUUUCUCUUAGCGGCAUGAAACUUAUUGAUGCUGACAAUGAAAAAUCGAUCUGUCUGGCUGUUUUCCCUCUUUCCUUGCACUUUAAUUAUGUUGCUAGAGCUAACAGCUGACUAAUAAAUUCCACCUGCUGGCUCCUAAGACCCAGUGGAAGAGCUAGCAUGGGUAAUAUACCACAGAGGUAGAGAAUGUACAUCUUCUGCAUGGUAAGCGCCAUCUCUGUACAUAACUAUAUAGCAAAAUGUCAACUAAGUAAAAGAAAAUAUUUAUAAUAUUUGAAGACCAUUCCAAAAAUAUUUUUAAUAGUUCAUAUUAGCCAACAGUGUAGCACUCAACCCAAGGAGGGUUCCUUAUGGAUGCUUUCUUUUUCUUUUUUCUUUUUUUAAAGUUGCUUGUUUGUUCUCUUUAGUUUCAAAUAAGAGGUUGACACAUCUUGAUGCAUGAUGAGAAGCAUGGGCUGUUUGGAUCCUAACAACGCGUAACUUGUGAUUUAUUUCUCAGUGCUCAGAAACUGAGGGUUUGACAUAAUAUGUAUCAGUUGCACCAAACACCUCAAGGUCUUGCAGAAGAAAAGUAAAGGUUAGUUUUCUUGGCUCAAAUGUGAAGUCCUGAAAGGUGAACUAAAACCAGGACAAAUCUGUGAGAAGCCCACACACAUAUUAGUUUCACGCCAAACAACACGUGGAAAGGUCGAUGCGUUCUACUCUGCCUUGGAGUUGCCAGAGUCCUUCAGAGGGAAAGGGAUGGUUCUGCGUGUGCUUUCCCUGAAAGUUUGGACUCAUUUCUUUGACCCAAAUGUUCCAGAGACACUGCAGCCAUUCUUGUCAAAGCAAAAUAAGAUAGGAGUUUCCAAAUGCUCCUUCCCUUUGGGACCACAGCUUUUCUUCAACUAGUGACAAAGCUUUUGCACCUGUGUCCUGCAGGAUGUUGGAACUGUGUCGCGGUGGUCAUAUUAGGCACUGUCAAUUGCUAUGCUGCCUUUUAGGGAGUUUUUGUUUCUUUGAAAAACAGGGUCUCACUAUGUUGCUCAGGCUGGCCUCGAGCUUCUGGACUCAAGCAAUCUUCCUGCCUCGGCCUCUCAAGUAGCUGGGACUGCAGGGGCGCGCCACUCGCCAGCCCUUUGCAUUUUCGUUUGAGAAUUACACCACUUCCUGGAGUCUGCCGCCUUCCUGGAGCUGCAAGAGAGCAAGAGAGAUCGUUCCACCUCUGAGGGGGUGACUUUUGAUGACCUGCACUGUUCUUGGGCCAGCUGGGAUAGGAAUGCACAUUUUUAAAUACCUUCAAUUUGGUCAAAUUAAAAAUCCCCAAGAGCAAUUUGCAGUGUGUUUUCCUGAUCGUUAAAGUAGCCAUCCCCUUCUGCCUACACACAAAGCAUGUAUUCCCAGCUGCGUCUGCCUCUAUUCCAUUAUGGAGACCCAUUUCGAAGAGGAGAUGGGAGCUCAGCCUCUAACAGCCAAGUAGCGAACAUGUAUACCCUAAAAUUAACCUAGAAAAUUCGAAGUAGAAUCCAAUUUGAUGCUUUCGAAAGACUGCCCACAUUUUGUACUGUCAACGGAAUUAUCUUGGGGCUUUUAGGGGAUGCCUUUGGUUAUUAACUAAGACAUGUAGUUUUGCUACAGGGACAAAUCUCUUAUCUAAUCUAAUGCAUUAUUUGACAGAUUCAGGCAUAAAGUGAAACGUUGUCACUUUUCCUUAGUGUUUUUCUGAAGGAAUUUAAAAAGGGAAUUUUAAAUGGCCGUUGCAAUAUUUUCAAGUGGCUCUCACACAAAGUCCCAUUACUGUUUGUUAAAUUUCAGUACGUCUUAAAGUACUGCUUAUAAACAAAUGAAACUCAGAGAAACUGAAUCACUUGGAAGAGAAAAAUCCAUUAUGGUCCCACGUGGAUCGAAUAAUGAUGGAUCAGCGCCCUUUCUCUCAUAUUAUUGUAUCAGACGAGACCUUGGCCCAGCAGCGAUUAGGCAGCUUUUAAAUUCUUAACUAAAAAGAAUAAUGCAAUACAGACAUUAUUCCCAAUAAAAUUAAUUUUGAUUUAAAAGCCAGACAUUUUACUUAGCUUUUUUUUUUUCAAAGUUUGAUAUUAUCCCCUUAAAAAAAAGUCUUCACUUUAAAGUAUAAAGGUUUUAAAAACUGCAACUGCAAAAUGUAUUAUUUUCACUACUAUUGAAAUGGCAUAAAAGAACAUACUAUUUAUGGCUGAAGGACAUAGCCAGGCUAAUGUCCACAGCCAGAGGGAAUUAAUGAAUAAAAGUCAUUUUCAUUUCAGUAAGAAAUCAGAUUGUAAGUUUAAAUAGUGACUCAAUUAUAGACACCACUAUGUAAUUCCUGGGAAGAGGACUUGAGUCAAUGAAAUCUAAUCAGUGUGUCAUUUCUCAGCAGCCAGUGGUGACUUAAAAUUAAGACGAGGCAGAACCAAAAUGGGAAACAGUCAUUUUGUUGUAGGUAUAAACACAUGAAUGAUUGAGAAAAUUAUUCAUCUCAGCUGCCAUGCAGCAUGACACUAACAUUAGAACUGAUUGUACUUCAUCUGCUCUGCUCAAGGAAAAGAAUAGUUCUAUUAUACUUAAUGAUGUUGUUUUUUACACAACACAUUUCAUUUUUCAUUAGAAAGCCAGUUAUGAAAGAGAGCUGGCCUAGGCAUCCCAGCCCUGAGUCUUAGGCCCAGUCUCCCCCUGGAAAACCUUAGGCUGGUGUUUACACAUCUCUGAGCCUCAGUUUCCUCAUCUGCAAAAUGGUGUGAAUGAAUAGUAAUCCCUGUGCUGCUUACCUCACGGGGCUAUUGUGAGGACCAAAUGGAUUAGACUGUAAACUGUAAAGUGCUGUCCACAUGUGAGGUAAUCUGAUUACUAUCCUCAGCUCUCUUUUGUAGAGGAUUUCAAUGUAUUUCUUUAUCAUUUGAGUAUGUGUGCCAUGGACAAAUAUGUGUAUUAGUUUGAGAAGCAUAUCAUUCGUGUCCAGUUACUUUGCAAAUCUGUGGGCCUUUGGGAUUGGACAGAGGGGUUUGUGCUGUGGCCUAACACUUGCCAGGGGAGGUGUAGGUUGUGCCUAUAUGCAAAUUAAACUUCACGUUUCUUGAAUAUUCA
Molecule: long non-coding RNA, 4625 nt
Organism: Cebus imitator (Panamanian white-faced capuchin)
Lineage: Eukaryota; Metazoa; Chordata; Mammalia; Primates; Cebidae
Exons: 2
Source: RefSeq, a predicted model, not a curated record